UGGGGAAUUUUGGACAAUGGGGGCAACCCUGAUCCAGCAAUGCCGCGUGUGUGAAGAAGGCCUUCGGGUUGUAAAGCACUUUUGUCCGGGAAGAAAUCGCACCUGAUAAUACCGGGUGUGGAUGACGGUACCGGAAGAAUAAGGACCGGCUAACUACGUGCCAGCAGCCGCGGUAAUACGUAGGGUCCAAGCGUUAAUCGGAAUUACUGGGCGUAAAGCGUGCGCAGGCGGUUGUGCAAGACCGAUGUGAAAUCCCCGGGCUUAACCUGGGAAUUGCAUUGGUGACUGCACGGCUAGAGUGUGUCAGAGGGGGGUAGAAUUCCACGUGUAGCAGUGAAAUGCGUAGAGAUGUGGAGGAAUACCGAUGGCGAAGGCAGCCCCCUGGGAUAACACUGACGCUCAUGCACGAAAGCGUGGGAGCAAACAG
This 427-nucleotide ribosomal RNA is filed under the name bacterium. Its description in RNAcentral is "partial 16S ribosomal RNA". It matches the Rfam family "Bacterial small subunit ribosomal RNA", at positions 355 to 775 of the family's 1533-position model. The record is from RNAcentral.